CGCGUAGGCGGCCUCGUAAGUCCCGUGUGAAAGCCCCCGGCUCAACUGGGGAAUUGCACGGGAAACUGCGGGGCUUGAGUUCGGGAGAGGGAAGCGGAAUUCCGGGUGUAGCGGUGAAAUGCGUAGAUAUCCGGAGGAACACCAGUGGCGAAGGCGGCUUCCUGGACCGACACUGACGCUGAGGCGCGAAAGCUAGGGGAGCAAACGG
RNAcentral lists this ribosomal RNA (208 nucleotides) under uncultured bacterium. Its description in RNAcentral is "partial 16S ribosomal RNA". It matches the Rfam family "Bacterial small subunit ribosomal RNA", at positions 568 to 775 of the family's 1533-position model. The record is from RNAcentral.